Molecule: ribosomal RNA, 305 nt
Filed under: uncultured bacterium
Lineage: Bacteria
Description: bacterial SSU rRNA
Rfam family: Bacterial small subunit ribosomal RNA
Source: RNAcentral
UUGACCUACGGGGGGCAGCAGUGAGGAAUAUUGGUCAAUGGACGCAAGUCUGAACCAGCCAUGCCGCGUGCAGGAAGACGGCUCUAUGAGUUGUAAACUGCUUUUGUACGAGGGUAAACGCAGAUACGUGUAUCUGUCUGAAAGUAUCGUACGAAUAAGGAUCGGCUAACUCCGUGCCAGCAGCCGCGGUAAUACGGAGGAUGCGAGCGUUAUCCGGAUUUAUUGGGUUUAAAGGGUGCGUAGGCGGGCUUUUAAGUCAGCGGUAAAAAUUCGGGGCUCAACCCCGUCCGGCCGUUGAAACUGGG